This 331-nucleotide transfer-messenger RNA is filed under the name Clostridiaceae bacterium. It matches the Rfam family "transfer-messenger RNA". Rfam says of the family: Bacterial tmRNA, also known as 10Sa RNA or SsrA, is named for its dual tRNA and mRNA-like properties. Its role is to liberate the mRNA from a stalled ribosome. To accomplish this part of the tmRNA is used as a reading frame that ends in a translation stop signal. RNAcentral also lists the same sequence under 1 other name. Lineage: Bacteria; Bacillati; Bacillota; Clostridia; Eubacteriales; Clostridiaceae. The record is from RNAcentral.
UUUGGCUUUCGACGGGGGUCAGAAGGGUUUAAGAAGCGGGUCGAGGAUCCCAGUGCCUCGUAAAAAACAGGGGAUUAAAAAAUAAACGAUAACGAUAAUAAUUUAGCUUUAGCUGCCUAGUUGCAGCUCGUCCUCCUAAGAGUACCACGGCUUAGAGCAGGGCGUCGAUAGUGGUGAACCGAGCUUACCAAAGCUUUGAGGUUAGAACGGAAUUUAUGAAGCUACUGAAACUUAAAGCCUGCUUUUGGGCGUUAAGCAGAGGGAAUGUUAAAACAAAAGCUGCACCCGAAGAUGCUUAAAUUCUUGGGCUUUCGGACAGGGGUUCGAUUCA